GACGAACGCUGGCGGCGUGCCUAAUACAUGCAAGUAGAACGCUGAAGAGAGGAGCUUGCUCUUCUUGGAUGAGUUGCGAACGGGUGAGUAACGCGUAGGUAACCUGCCUGGUAGCGGGGGAUAACUAUUGGAAACGAUAGCUAAUACCGCAUAAAAUUGAUUAUUGCAUGAUACUUAAUUGAAAGAUGCAACUGCAUCACUACCAGAUGGACCUGCGUUGUAUUAGGUAGUUGGUGAGGUAACGGCUCACCAAGGCGACGAUACAUAGCCGACCUGAGAGGGUGGACGGCCAAACUGGGAACGGGACACCGCCCAGACUCCUAAGGGAGGCAGCAGUAGGGAAUUAUCGGCAAUGGGGGGAAACCUGACCGAGCAACGCCGGGUGAGUGAAGAAGGUUUUCGGAUCGUAAAGCUCUGUUGUAAGAGAAGAACGGGUGGGAGAGUGGAAAGUUCACACUGUGACGGUAUCUUACCAGAAAGGGACGGCUAACUACGUG
This 497-nucleotide ribosomal RNA is filed under the name uncultured bacterium. Its description in RNAcentral is "partial 16S ribosomal RNA". It matches the Rfam family "Bacterial small subunit ribosomal RNA", at positions 28 to 507 of the family's 1533-position model. The record is from RNAcentral.